Molecule: small RNA, 399 nt
Filed under: Histoplasma capsulatum
Lineage: Eukaryota; Fungi; Ascomycota; Eurotiomycetes; Onygenales; Ajellomycetaceae
Also listed under: 1 other name
Description: hypothetical RNA
Source: RNAcentral
UCCAAGGUUGUCUCUCUAGCUAGCUGCCAGUUUUGUCUACAUUUUAUCUACGUAGUAUGGAUGGAUGAUCUGCCGUUAUCAUGCAUGCUAGGCCACUCUCUGGUUACACGACACAAGAGAGUAAACAUUAUGGGACCUGGUCAAUCGUUCCCGAGGUGGUUCUGGUGUUGACAUCAUGUUUAUUAAGCUUCAUUGCGAGUGUUCGCUAUCACCACCAGGAAGCGUGAUAAUAGCAGCAAGCACGGCUAAAUUGGUAUUUAGAUAACAAAGCCAUAAGCUGGACUCGAAGGGCAGGAUAAAAGAGCCGGGCAGGAGGUGAUGCUAUAUCCUGAGUGGAGAACCGGCGCGGCUACAAUACAGCUACAAUUGGGGAUUGACUUGCUGAAGCUAUAGUCUUUG